CGAAUAAUCGAACUUUAUUAAUUAAAAAUAAUAUUAUUAUUAAUAUGACUCAUCAGACCAUGGUUUACAAAAUUUAAACUGAGCAGUCAUCCCAGACCCAGACUUCCACUAGUGCUCACACCUUCUUCUUCGGCUUCCACUAGUCAUCACCUCAGAUCUUUGGCUCCUCCUUAGAUCUCCUUCUUUUUUUGCUCAUCACCUUCCUCUGUUGCUCUGGCGAAUGUCAUAGAUCUAUGCAGAUCCUCAUGUCGAUGCCGACGAAACAGUGGCGAUCGAGGAAGUCUUAAUUAUUGGCUCGAAGGCUUUGAAGCGGAAGAUUUUCGACUGGACGAGGAGGUCUUAUUAGCUCUCUCCGGCCUCCGCCUCUCGACUGUCGACUACUCGAUCACACAAAAUUGACUAUAACAGCCAUGGAUCUGAAAGUGAAGCAGAGUAUUCUAUUAUUCCAUGUAAUUUCAGACAGAGAUGGGCAAUACUAGUAAAUAGUAACUAGAGCAACAAGUAGACACAUAGAUAGAUAAAUAGAUGGCAAUAUUUGGGUGGGGUUAAACUCACCAAAAAAUAAUAAUUGGAUGGUUUUUCUUAGGUUACCAAUCUGCAGGAGGUUUCCUUUUCAUUCUGUGUCAAUCCCUCUACUCUGUUCUCCUCUUCACUGCAUGCUAACAAG
Molecule: long non-coding RNA, 667 nt
Filed under: Panax ginseng (ginseng)
Lineage: Eukaryota; Viridiplantae; Streptophyta; Magnoliopsida; Apiales; Araliaceae
Description: long non-coding RNA (PGIN_LNC019106)
Source: RNAcentral